UUGUCGUGUGUUUCACAGCUUCGCUCAGAGUCUGUUUGUUUUUGCCUUUUAUCUGUUUUUUACGUUUGUGGUUCUUGUUUUCAGUGUUUUGGUUGUUUGUGUUACACUUUAUACAAAAAUCUGCACCUGCAUCUGCUGCUUCUACAAACUUGUGACAGAUGGACACGUCCAGAACCAUGAUGCACUACGUCAUGAGGCAUAUCAUCACCGACUGCUUUCAGGAACACAUCACUGAGCAUUGCUCAUCACGGCGAGUUCUGAUUGGCUGAGAGCGAGACAGUGACGAUGAUCAGACCUCUCCAACCACAACCAAACCGCAUGAACCCAGACCUUUCCCAGCAUGACCAAGGCCCACGCCCAGAACUCUCCAAUCACAGCCAAAGCCCAUGCCCAGACUGCUCCAACCACGACUGAGGCCCAUGACCAGAUCUCUCCUGGAGAUGUGGAGUCUUGUUGUCUUAUGUCAUUACCUCAUGGCAUCGUUAUCACAUUAUCUCAAAAAUAAAAAAAAUUGAAGUAUAUUGUGUCUGGUAUAAGAAGUAAAAAAAAAAAUCCAGUCAGGACUGUCAGAGACAGCAAUGCCCUCAAUCUGUGCCUUAAAUAUGAUUGGCUGGUUUUAUAAAGGGGCGGGACUUAUGUAAAACACACCAUGUAAAGUAUUCUCUGUCUCUAAACUUCAUAUUGUUUCUGACAGUAGCUUAUUUAUAUUUUUCGUACUACUGAAAAGGCCACAUCCGAAAUUUACAGCAAGGACACACCCACAGGAGACAAUCAUGGAGUAACAUCAGCAAGUGCUGUGUAGCACCUGUCGUCACAACAUUAGGAAACAUCUCAAAUUUGAUCCAAACUGGAUGUUUCGGUCCGAUACAGUGGCUCAGUGUGAGAUCACUGCUUCCCUGCUCUUGAAUAAUAAGCAUCAACUUUUAGACGUUUUCACUUGACACUUUGUGCUUAUUAAGCUUUUUUUUUCCCUCCAUAUCCGACUCACAGGGAGAGCUAAUAAAGCAGAACGGCUGCUCUGAACUCCACUUUCUGUAAUUAAAGCUCUCCGACUCCGGCCGUGUGGGAUCUCUCUUUUAUGCCUACUCUCCGUUCAUUUCCCGGCAUCGGCUCAUUCUACUCCGGCAUAAUAAACCCCCCAAAAAAAUUUUAAAAAAUGCUCUUAUGCAACGAACCAGCAUGAGACAGAGAGGAUCUGGCAACCCUGAGCUCUGCUGCUCUGAGGUUAUUCUGUAAGCACUGAAUAAAAACAAGUACGAAUGAAUAAAAAAUGGCGUGGGAGUGGAAAGUGUGGAAUCUGUCUCGGUGAAUCAGACGCCGGUUUUAUUUACUGCGUCAAACGCCUUCAGGGUUUUUAUUCAGUCAGAUUAAAUCACUCACUCCCUCACAGUAACCUUAAAACAGACUAAAACAAGAAGAUAACUCCUGCACAACCUGCACAUACUCAGUGAAAAAUAUCCCCAGGUCAAAGAAGGGCGGGGCUUAAUUUAAAUGUGAUCUUAUGACAUCACAACUAGCCUUAUUAUUUUUAGCUAUUAUGUUUAGCUGGAUUUAAGUGUGGGAUUUGCUAUUUAAUAUAGUUAAUUAUUAUAGUGGAUAAUAGUUUAGCAAUAGCUGAGAUAGGUAGGUACGUAAACACAACACUAGCCUGUUAUCUCUAGCUAUCUGAAGUAGCUAGCCACAUUUACUAGCAAGAUUUAAAAAAAAUUAGGCUAGGUUUUACAUAGUGUAAAUGAAAACAGUAGCCAACCAGUUUAUGUGAUACUUCAU
Pangasianodon hypophthalmus (striped catfish) is the source of this 1770-nucleotide long non-coding RNA. RefSeq lists it as uncharacterized. The record is from RefSeq and is a predicted model, not a curated record. Lineage: Eukaryota; Metazoa; Chordata; Actinopteri; Siluriformes; Pangasiidae. The transcript is spliced from 4 exons.